AGUACAGGCGAGUGAGUGGGAAAAGCUCAACUUUGAAAUCUGGCACCUUCGGUGUCCGAGUUGUAGUCUCAAGAAGUGUUUUCUGUGCUGGUCCAUGUAUGAGUCUGUUGGAACACAGCGUCAUAGAGGGUGACAACCCCGUUCAUGACAUGGAUACCAGUGCUUUGUGAUACACUCUCGAAGAGUCGAGUUGUUUGGGAAUGCAGCUCAAAUUGGGUGGUAAAUUCCAUCUAAAGCUAAAUAUUGGCGAGAGACCGAUAGCAAACAAGUACCGUGAGGGAAAGAUGAAAAGCACUUUGGAAAGAGAGUUAACAGUACGUGAAAUUGUUGAAAGGGAAACGAUUGAAGUCAGACGUGCGUGAUGCGGUUCAGCACUGGUUCGCCAGUGUGUAUUCCGUAUCUUUGCAGGCCAACAUCAUUUUCGGUAGUCUGAUAAAGGUUACUUGAAUAUGGCAACCACGGGUGUGUUAUAACAUCCUUCUGGAGACUACUUCUCGGACACA
This 503-nucleotide ribosomal RNA is filed under the name Cystobasidium sp. P2. RNAcentral's name for it is "LSU rRNA". It matches the Rfam family "Eukaryotic large subunit ribosomal RNA", at positions 82 to 589 of the family's 3401-position model. Lineage: Eukaryota; Fungi; Basidiomycota; Cystobasidiomycetes; Cystobasidiales; Cystobasidiaceae. The record is from RNAcentral.